RNA transcript from Salvia splendens (bonfire salvia), 1037 nucleotides. It is a transcript of the gene named vesicle transport protein SFT2B, with no coding region annotated. The transcript has 6 exons. Lineage: Eukaryota; Viridiplantae; Streptophyta; Magnoliopsida; Lamiales; Lamiaceae. The record is from RefSeq and is a predicted model, not a curated record.
AGUAAACUUAUAAUAAGCUGUUGAUUUGAUUAAACAAAAAAUUGUGAAAUUCUGGACAAUGUGGAGUUCAGGCCAAGAUGAUGAAGAACAGCAAGAUUACUUUGUUGAAGGGACUGAAGGUCUCUGCUCUCUAUCUCCUAUGCAGAGGAUGUAUGGGUUCGGUGCUUGUUUACUAGCUGGAGUUGUUUGUAUGUUCUUGUCGAUGAUUGUUUUUGCGAAACCCAUCAAAUUCGCGGUAUUAUUUACCUUUGGCAAUGUGCUGGCAGUUGGGAGCACAGCUUUCGUCAUUGGACCUAAGCAACAGCUCCGCAUGAUGCUUGAUGAUGCCCGCAUAUAUGCUACAGCAAUCUACGGCGGAUGUGUGAUAGUGGCUCUUGUUUGUGCUCUUUUGUCUGUUAGGUCGCUGAUAUCGGGAAGUGACUUCAUUGUGCUUGUUCCGGCAAACAGAAUGUAUCGAUGACUUUUGGCAUUUAUGAAAAGAAUUAAACUUAGUCUGUUGGAAAUUUUGAUAAUCUAGUAUGCAGAUGCAUAAAAAAGUAUUAUCUGGCUGUGUUCAGUGGAAGGAACAAGGGAAGGGGCUGUUUUAGCUGAACUUAACCAAACAUAACCUAAUGUUUUGGUAGCUGGGUAAGAAAUGUACUAACAAUUCAUUAGCCAGUGGUAACACACUUACACCCUCCUUUUUAUGCAUAUCAGCAUAGGCAAUUCUGCUGACCAGUGUAAGUUUGCUAUCUGAAAUUUAGUUAACUUAUUCAGUUAUUCCCAGUCAUACUAGCUAAACUCGAUAUUGAAUAUAACGUCAUAUCUUUCCUAUCCCAUAUGAAUGCACCUCAUAAUUUCUUGUCAACUUGUUGAUUGGUACAUUCAUGUACAAGUUAUAUCUUUAUCUAGUGCUUCUUUUUCUGUAUUGCAGAUCCACAGUAAGAUUCUUACCUUAAUUGCCGUGAUAUGUGAAAUUUGUUCUCUAUUUUGGUACAGCUUGAGUUAUAUUCCAUUUGCCCGUAGAAUGGUCUCUGAUCUGACAAUCCGUCUUUGUG